GCAUCUCGCUUACACUGAGAAGUCAUCUGUGAAAAUCAGAUUGCCUU
This 47-nucleotide transfer RNA is filed under the name Bovichtus variegatus (thornfish). Its description in RNAcentral is "partial tRNA-Val". The record is from RNAcentral. Lineage: Eukaryota; Metazoa; Chordata; Actinopteri; Perciformes; Bovichtidae.